CCAAAAAAAUAAGGAUAAUAGAAAGAAGCAAACAGUUCCUCACACAGGUGGAUCGAAGAGCAUUGCACGAAAGAAGGAUGAGAUGGAGCAAGAGCUUGGUCGCAAAGUUAGUAGGGGAGAAGUUUGGAUAGCAACACAUAAACAUGCUAAUGGGGAAUUUGUGAAUGAUGGAGCAAGAGAGAUUGGAG
This is a long non-coding RNA of Vigna unguiculata (cowpea), 188 nucleotides long. NCBI's taxonomy places the organism in Eukaryota, Viridiplantae, Streptophyta, Magnoliopsida, Fabales, Fabaceae. The record is from RefSeq and is a predicted model, not a curated record.